This 31-nucleotide small RNA is filed under the name Bombyx mori (domestic silkworm). RNAcentral's name for it is "ovarian small RNA-16751". Lineage: Eukaryota; Metazoa; Arthropoda; Insecta; Lepidoptera; Bombycidae. The record is from RNAcentral.
GCGAAAUAGUAGGCAGCCCGACCCGGGAGGU